GGGCGGAUGGUUUAGUGGUAUAAUUCUCCCUUAGCAUAUUCAUUCUCACGAAUGCCUCUGCUUGGGAGAGGUCCAGGGUUCGAUUCCCUGUUCGUCCA
Purpureocillium lavendulum is the source of this 98-nucleotide non-coding RNA. The record is from the annotation of a GenBank genome assembly. NCBI's taxonomy places the organism in Eukaryota, Fungi, Ascomycota, Sordariomycetes, Hypocreales, Ophiocordycipitaceae.